This is a non-coding RNA of Drosophila melanogaster (fruit fly), 2776 nucleotides long. The record is from Ensembl. NCBI's taxonomy places the organism in Eukaryota, Metazoa, Arthropoda, Insecta, Diptera, Drosophilidae.
UCACUCUCAAAUGAAAAGUGUUCAAGUGCAUUCAAAGUGAAGCUGAAAAAAUAACCAGUUAAAAAUAGUACAAAGAAAUUUUCUUUCUUGCAAUUUGCAAGCAGUAGCUACAACCAAAAAUGGAAAAGUGUAAAAAUCGUGUCCCAGCAGACGAGCAGCAGCAGUACGAGUAUUGCAAAAUGCAGGGGCAAGGGCCCACGUAGUAUUUUUCCACGUCGGGCAUUUAAUGCUCUCGAGUUGGAAACAAUGAAACCAUACGCAAACCCCCUGGAAAAGAUGUGAUUAGUCAUCGAUUUUGCUGGUCAGCGUCGGGGAAUUUCGCAAUGCAGCAGGCAGUUUUCUCAAAUUUGGCUAGAAAGUGACCCACUAGGCAGUCUGAGGCAGUUAUCCAGGAUGUAAGGAUGUGUGCAGUACUCUCUGUGUCGAAUGGCGAUGGCCCUGACCUGCGGAUUUUGAAAGAUUGAAAUAGGAAGCCAGGUAUACAUACACAGCAACGAAUGCAGCGUGUUCUAUAUUCUUAAUUCGUAAGCCAAACCUAUGUUUAAGACGUAGUUUAUAUAACCGUACAUAUGUAUGUAGCGAAACACGUUUUCAAACGUCGCAUCGAAGCCAUUUCUUCUGCAGCCAUUGCAAUUUCAUCGUGUUGCGUAAUCGCAAAUUGUAAAUGUGUCCCUACUACUUCACAUUUGUGUGUAUCCAAGUCGAAAGUUCUCGAACUAUUCUCGUGAGCAACCCCCGGAUCGAAAGGCCACCAACUGGCUCGUUCUCUCUCUCCAGAAACAGCUUACUCUUACGUUUACAAUUGACUCUCUACCUAUCGGGUAUACACAUUUUUAUAUAUGUAUACACUCAGAGACACCCCAAUCCCCCACCAUACAUAUGGCGAGAUGUGUGAAUGUAUCGCAGUUGGACGAAAACGGCAGCUGCGCAGAAAACGCUGCGGCGUACAUACAAACGAGCUCUUUGUUUGCCUUUCCCCAGUUUUGCUUCCCCAUACGUAUAACUGGUGUUUAUCAGCGGUAAUCUCGCCAGCCUGACUUUGUCCCUGUCGCUUCUAUUGACAUUCUAAACUAGAUUGUAGACGUUUUAACAUUUACCUAGCUGUUAAUCUUAUUUGUAAACAUCUCUAUAUGCAACCUGCCAUACCACUUAACCAAGCAAUAUGUAUUUCUUUCUCUAAACUUUAUAGUUGGGCGUUGAAAGUUGAUAUCGAUAUCGAUCCGUGAAAAGUCGAUACCCUGCGCAAGCAUGGGGCGGCAUAUGGGUGCUGAAAACGCACUCGGCCCGAUCCCGAUUGCAGCGUUAUUCGAAAGCUGUGUCUGCGACCGUGACUGAGAUCAUAUGCGUACAUAUAUCUAAUGUCCGGGGUCGUAGGCCAGCCAGGGUGCUCGAUUCUGUCAGAUUGAUUGUGCGGAUUGUGUUAUAGGAACACUGGUGUAUCGACUUCUCUGCUCCACUAUGGGUGAAGGAUACCCUACCGAAAAGGCCUUCUGUCGCUUACUAUCAUCGAACAAGUUCCGUAAAGGGCAGACAUACGUACACGUGGCAGCAUAUUACGUUCAAUGACACAUCGUCUCUGGAUUAGUAGUUGAACCAACGAGCUCGAAUAUACCCUGCCAGUUGGUUGUAAAUAUUAAUUUUGUUCUUAUAUUCAGUUGUAAAGUCAAUACGGAAGACAUUUCCACACCAACCAUGUGUCACUUAUGUUCUUAAAUACCAGAAACUGUUUAAAUUUUUGUUCUUAUACACUUCACCAAUUAAGAAUUACCUGUACUGAUGUAAGUGUACCUGUUGAAUCACAACAAAAAUAGAAAAAAUGAAUAACAAAAGAGCUCUAUAACAGAAAAGCCACAGAAAAAGUGAAUAAAAAUUCAAAAAUUCAAAAAAUAAAUUUCGAAACAUUUGCUCGUGAUAUUUUUAUUUCAAGAAAAGAUCCGAUUUCAGUUAUACCAUCUAGCUUAAAUUUAGCGUUACGAGAAUAGUCCCUCGGAGGAAAGGCCCUUUAUCAAGAUGCCAAUAUCGUUCGUCCUAUACACAAAUUACUCACGUUAUGAAACCAAGUCGAAAAAUCGGACAAAGUGUCUACAAUUGAGGAAAGGUCUAUUGAUCUCCUGUGAGCGCAAAAAGUUUGUAUUCGAACGAGAAUUUUAAGGUUUAAAAUCAGCUGAAAAGUACGUAUAUUCCGCAUUUAUUUUUCUCCACAUUUUUAGGAUCAGAACAUCAGAACUAUAUUUUUUUGGAAAAAUCAACGGAUAUUAUUUUGUUUGGAGGUCCCAAAUUCUAUACACCUUCACACAUAUUUUUGCAUACAAAAAAACCUAAAAAUAAUAUUAUUGAAUGGCAAAAAAAACCAUUUAUAACAUGAAAAUUACUCGAAGUACUUCAAUUUAAUUACCGAACCAAAAUAUAUACACGUACGACUCGUGUUGGACGAGAUUACAUUAAGAGAACUUUGAAAAAUAAUAAAAAAAGGUUUGAAAUUGAAAACUGUAAAGUAUAAUAUUCGUAAUAAGGAAUUUAUAAAGAUAAAUAACCACAACAAAAUGAACCACAAUAAUAUGAAACCAUGAACAAUAGGUAUGAUUUAUGUCGAUUAGCCUCUUGGUAAAAUAAACUUAAAAUCCAUAUAGGUGUGUGUUAUAAAACUGCCCCAAUUCAAAAUUGCGUCUCGUAAUAAACCAAAAGUACAUCGUACAACUGCAACAUGACCCGCAAUUAUUUGAACUCUUUAACAAUAGGUUUCAUUUACUCCGAUUACCCCAAUCACAAUCUUUCG